GGGAAAGGACACCGAGCCUUGCAGCUGCCCUCAGGGAAAUCUUAAAGGGCAAGGCCAGGACUUCUCCUCGGGAUGGCAGCCGGUUCUCCAGAAGCUCCAUCUGGUCCCCUUGAUGCCAAAUCCAAAAAAUCAUCACUAAGACCGAUGUCGAGCUUACUGCUUGUUUCCCUCUUAAUCUCUAUACCCAAUAUGGAACUUGAACUCAUGACCCCAAGAUCAAGAGUCAGUCUUGCUCUUCC
Molecule: long non-coding RNA, 239 nt
Organism: Nyctereutes procyonoides (raccoon dog)
Lineage: Eukaryota; Metazoa; Chordata; Mammalia; Carnivora; Canidae
Exons: 3
Source: RefSeq, a predicted model, not a curated record